AUGAACGCUAGCGGCAGGCCUAAUACAUGCAAGUCGAACGAUAGAUAGARGCUUGCUUCUAUCGAAAGUGGCGCACGGGUGCGUAACGCGUAUGCAACCUACCUUAAUCUGGGGGAUAGCCCGGAGAAAUCCGGAUUAAUACCGCAUAAAAUCACAGGAUGGCAUUAUCCAAUGAUCAAACAUUUAUGGGAUUGAGAUGGGCAUGCGUGUCAUUAGCUAGUUGGCGGGGUAACGGCCCACCAAGGCGACGAUGACUAGGGGAUCUGAGAGGAUGGCCCCCCACACUGGUACUGAGACACGGACCAGACUCCUACGGGAGGCAGCAGUAAGGAAUAUUGGUCAAUGGAGGCAACUCWGAACCAGCCAUGCCGCGUGCAGGAAGAC
This 384-nucleotide ribosomal RNA is filed under the name Pedobacter sp. RNAcentral describes it as "bacterial SSU rRNA". Lineage: Bacteria; Pseudomonadati; Bacteroidota; Sphingobacteriia; Sphingobacteriales; Sphingobacteriaceae. The record is from RNAcentral.